AUGCCGGGGCUCACGGCGCCAUCGGACUACGCGGAGGAGCCGCCGCGCCACCCGGCCCUCAGGAUCAACUCCAAGGAGCCAUUUAAUGCUGAGCCUCAUCGAUCUGCGUUAGUUUCAUCUUAUAUCACCCCAGUGGAUUUCUUCUACAAGAGGAAUCAUGGACCAAUUCCCAAAGUUGAUGAUAUCUCAAGAUACAGUGUUUCCAUCAGUGGCCUCAUUAAUAAGCAUAUCCAGCUGUCCAUGGAUGACAUUAGGAUGCUUCCGAAGUACAAUGUCACUGCAACAUUACAGUGUGCAGGCAAUAAGAGAACUGCAAUGAGUAAGGUACGGAAAGUGAGAGGUGUUGGAUGGGACGUAUCUGCUCUUGGAAAUGCAACUUGGGGUGGAGCAAAACUAUCCGAUGUCCUUGAACUAGUUGGAAUACAUAAACUCAGUUCAGUCACAUCUUUAGGAGGCAAACAUGUUGAGUUCGUCAGUGUUGACAGGUGUAAAGAGGAGAAAGGUGGCCCCUAUAAGGCAUCAAUUCCACUAAAGCAGGCAACAGAUCCUGAUGCUGAUGUGUUACUCGCAUAUGAAAUGAAUGGAGAGACCAUCAAUCGUGACCAUGGAUAUCCACUCCGUGUGGUCGUACCUGGUGUUAUAGGUGCACGCUCCGUAAAAUGGCUUGACAGCAUCAACAUAAUCAAGGAAGAAUGCCAGGGUUUUUUUAUGCAAAAAGAUUACAAGAUGUUCCCACCUACCGUAGAUUGGGACAAUAUUAAUUGGUCAACUAGAAGACCACAAAUGGAUUUUCCUGUGCAGUCUGCUAUUUGCACCCUGGAAGAUGUGGAUGUUAUCAAGGAAGGAAAGGCUAGAAUUGCUGGAUAUGCAGUCUCAGGUGGCGGCCGUGGCAUUGAGAGAGUAGAUAUAUCUGUUGAUGGGGGUAAAACAUGGGUUGAAGCUCAUAGAUGUCAGAAAAGCAAUGUGCCAUACGUCUCUGAUGGAGCUCAAAGCGACAAGUGGGCAUGGGUUCUAUUUGAGGCCACAUUGGACAUACCACCAAAUGCCGAGAUAGUAGCUAAGGCGGUGGAUUCGGCCGCAAACAUUCAACCCGAAAAAGUGGAGGACAUAUGGAAUCUGAGAGGAAUCCUCAACACAUCUUGGCAUCGGAUCAAAAUACAGAAUACAUCGUGCGUAUCUAGAUCCAAAAUGUGA
This 1194-nucleotide ribosomal RNA is filed under the name Triticum aestivum (bread wheat). Its description in RNAcentral is "partial small subunit ribosomal RNA". The record is from RNAcentral. Lineage: Eukaryota; Viridiplantae; Streptophyta; Magnoliopsida; Poales; Poaceae.